CCCAUAACGAGCGCAACCCCUAUUGUUAGUUGCCAUCGGGUCAUGCUGGGGACUCUAACAAAACUGCCCGCGUAAGCGUGGAGGAAGGUGGGGAUGACGUCAAAUCAGCACGGCCCUUACGUCCAGGGCUACACACGUGCUACAAUGGCCGGUACAGAGGGCAGCCACUUGGUGACAAGGAGCAAAUCUCAAAAGCCGGUCUCAGUUCGGAUCGGAGUCUGCAACUCGACUCCGUGAAGUUGGAUUCGCUAGUAAUCGUAGAUCAGCAAUGCUACGGUGAAUACGUUCCCGGGCCUU
RNAcentral lists this ribosomal RNA (297 nucleotides) under uncultured Bacteroidota bacterium. Its description in RNAcentral is "uncultured Bacteroidetes bacterium partial 16S ribosomal RNA". It matches the Rfam family "Bacterial small subunit ribosomal RNA", at positions 1086 to 1382 of the family's 1533-position model. Lineage: Bacteria; Pseudomonadati; Bacteroidota. The record is from RNAcentral.